GGGGGCGGCAGGGGGUCUAUUUCAGGGCUGUUUCCCAGCUGGGCCGCCGCCCCCUCGGAGUCGUGCGCGGCGGGCUCACCUGCGCUGCCGGCAGGGAGGGGGUCUCUUUUGAUACCGCCCGGAUCCAGAGGGACCCGGCUGAACCCCGGACAAGAGGUGGCAGCACAGCCGCGACCUCCCAGGGGCCCGAGGACUGGGGACAGAGGGCACAGAGCCGAGAGCAGGGCCUGGCGGCCUCUCCAGGAAAAGAACUGUUUCCAAAUUUGGAAGUGCAGAUGGCAAGCCGUGUGUGGGUGAGAGAGGAACGUGGACUACAGACAAAGAGAAACUGCCUCUGGCCGUGCGCCUGGACCUGUAAGUCAGGGGCUGGGAUGUCGCUGCCCCGUGGCCUGAGUGGGAAGAAGGAUCCGCCCGUCAUGGAGGAGGAAGAAGAAAUGAGGCCGCUUCCUGAGGCCCGACUGUGUCCCCGCUCCUAACCACAGCUCCCCUUCGCACCAGCUGAAGGGGCUUCUGCUCCUUCCAGCCCACGGCCUCGAAGGGCAAACCGGGCAGCUGGGAGGAGCGACUCGGCAGGGCUGAAGUCCACGGUGGGCCUCGGGCUGCAGGCAGAGGGCAGGCACCCCAUGGGGGCAACAUGAAGAGCGUGGGCCUGGGAGCCAGGCCCAGGGACCUAACCGUGAAGCUCGGCCUCAGCCGUCACUUAACCUCUCUGAAAAGUAGCCGUCAGGCGUCGAUGACAGUCUCUCACUGGGCUGCCGUGAGGGUGGAGGGGAGGCUGAAGGUAACCGUAAUCCAGAAGGACUAUGGGGGCGGGCCAUCUAGCCCACGGGGCGGGAAAGAACCUGAGAGAGGAAGUCGGGCGGCCUGAGACCAGGUGACUUGGAGCUCCAGGCCUGCGUGGAGCCUCCUCCUCGUCCCCCGCACCCCUUCCUCCAGCCACACCUGCAAGUGCUGGCAGCCAGGAGACCCUCGCAGAGCAAUGGUCAAGUUUGGGGGCUGGGUGUCCAGCUGCAGAAGUGCAGAGGCGUCCCCUACCCCUACGGGGACGGAAGCUGCUCCCUCCUCCCCAUGAGGGAUCUGAGGACAGUGGACGGGACAGCUCUGUCCUCCGCUGGCCCCCCUCCUGGGCCCUGGAGGACUUUGAUCCGGAGGUGGGUGCAGCCCCUCUGCCAGCCUUGGCAUCGUUUCCACCUUGGCCUCUGACCACCGUUGGCCAGCAGAGGGCGCCCCAACACCCCUUUUG
Molecule: long non-coding RNA, 1243 nt
Filed under: Equus asinus (donkey)
Lineage: Eukaryota; Metazoa; Chordata; Mammalia; Perissodactyla; Equidae
Description: lncRNA (ENSEASG00005034964.1)
Source: RNAcentral